Molecule: ribosomal RNA, 797 nt
Filed under: Acinetobacter baumannii OIFC137
Lineage: Bacteria; Pseudomonadati; Pseudomonadota; Gammaproteobacteria; Moraxellales; Moraxellaceae
Description: bacterial SSU rRNA
Rfam family: Bacterial small subunit ribosomal RNA
Source: RNAcentral
AUUGAACGCUGGCGGCAGGCUUAACACAUGCAAGUCGAGCGGGGGAAGGUAGCUUGCUACCGGACCUAGCGGCGGACGGGUGAGUAAUGCUUAGGAAUCUGCCUAUUAGUGGGGGACAACAUCUCGAAAGGGAUGCUAAUACCGCAUACGUCCUACGGGAGAAAGCAGGGGAUCUUCGGACCUUGCGCUAAUAGAUGAGCCUAAGUCGGAUUAGCUAGUUGGUGGGGUAAAGGCCUACCAAGGCGACGAUCUGUAGCGGGUCUGAGAGGAUGAUCCGCCACACUGGGACUGAGACACGGCCCAGACUCCUACGGGAGGCAGCAGUGGGGAAUAUUGGACAAUGGGGGGAACCCUGAUCCAGCCAUGCCGCGUGUGUGAAGAAGGCCUUAUGGUUGUAAAGCACUUUAAGCGAGGAGGAGGCUACUUUAGUUAAUACCUAGAGAUAGUGGACGUUACUCGCAGAAUAAGCACCGGCUAACUCUGUGCCAGCAGCCGCGGUAAUACAGAGGGUGCGAGCGUUAAUCGGAUUUACUGGGCGUAAAGCGUGCGUAGGCGGCUUAUUAAGUCGGAUGUGAAAUCCCCGAGCUUAACUUGGGAAUUGCAUUCGAUACUGGUGAGCUAGAGUAUGGGAGAGGAUGGUAGAAUUCCAGGUGUAGCGGUGAAAUGCGUAGAGAUCUGGAGGAAUACCGAUGGCGAAGGCAGCCAUCUGGCCUAAUACUGACGCUGAGGUACGAAAGCAUGGGGAGCAAACAGGAUUAGAUACCCUGGUAGUCCAUGCCGUAAACGAUGUCUACUAG